AAAAAAAAAAAAUCUAACUACAGAACAGGCUCCCAGCUGCAAACUAUGGAGCUCUUUGUGCUAGUCAUUAGAGAGCUGGCUGAUCACAUGAUGCUGGUUCCUCCUCAUUUCCAUUUGUUAAAUGUCAGGAUUAGGGAUCAGAAUAGAAUACUUUCAGGCAUUUGUUUUUCCAUGUACACAGUUGCUACAGGGAUGUGUUGUCAAUGCAAGUGGGAGAAGUGCCUAGUUAUCGGAGCAACAACACAACAGUGUAAGUAAGGUUCUUGUAAAACAGAAAGUCAAUGUGACACUUCAACUCGGAUCAAGUCCUUUGGCACAGGAACCCAGCUAGUUGUUUCUGGCAAAGAAGCAAAAUUUGAUCCUAAGAAGAUCCAGACCCUGUUUCUUACUGAACAAGAUGGAAAAGGAACACACAUGUGCCUCAUUGAGGAUUUUUUCCCAAAUGUUAUUAAGGUGACUUGGAAAAGUUCAAAUGAAGAGAAAAAUGCAAUACGUGGGGAAAUUUGGUCCCCGGAUGAUAAGCAAAACUCAUACUCAGUGAGUAGCUGGCUGACUGUUGAUGAUCCUAACAAGACAUAUAACCUCACAUAUGAACAUGAAAGCGGACGAGAUUCUAUCCUUCUCCAAUCCCAAGGUAUAUUCUCUAUAUUUAAGCCAGUUCUCUGUUUAGUGGGUUCAUUGUUUCUUUGCAAUUCAACAAUAAAAUGCAUUAUUGU
Non-coding RNA from Pelodiscus sinensis (Chinese soft-shelled turtle), 716 nucleotides. The record is from RefSeq and is a predicted model, not a curated record. Lineage: Eukaryota; Metazoa; Chordata; Testudines; Trionychidae.